Molecule: non-coding RNA, 59 nt
Filed under: Spodoptera frugiperda (fall armyworm)
Lineage: Eukaryota; Metazoa; Arthropoda; Insecta; Lepidoptera; Noctuidae
Source: RNAcentral
ACUAUAUUUUCAGACUCUGAAAAUGUACAGUUUUUAGGAUAUAUCUGUUGGUAUGGAGU